Molecule: transfer RNA, 84 nt
Filed under: Bacilli bacterium
Lineage: Bacteria; Bacillati; Bacillota; Bacilli
Also listed under: 1 other name
Description: tRNA-Leu
Rfam family: tRNA
About the family: Transfer RNA (tRNA) molecules are approximately 80 nucleotides in length.
Source: RNAcentral
GCGAGGAUGGUGGAAUUGGUAGACACGUACGCUUGAGGUGCGUAUGAUUUAUUCGUGAGGGUUCGAGUCCCUUUUCUCGCACCA